CUGGCGAGUGGGGGUGUGGGAGUGUAGCGGUGCGCUCACUUCCCCUUUCUCUUCCUUCGCGCCCCGGGGAACCUCCGCUCCGGUGGGGGCCUUCUCACCGCCAGGGGUCCUCGGUCAUCUCGGGUGCAGAGAACAGCUCCGUAGGGCUCCCUGCGGGUUUCCACGCGGGGCUGAGGCCUCCCGGGCCGCGUUGGGAGCGGCCACUUCCAGCCCGGGUCCGAGCUGUCAGCCCUCCCAAGACCUGCGCUGGAGCUGGCGGGACUCGUGUUGCGCCGGCUCAGGAGAGUUGGAGGCGGCUUUGUGGCCCUGACCAUCCCUUGGAAGCAGGUACAGCAGUGGCAUAAUGCCUGGGACAAACUACACAUACCUUGGGUGACCAAGUGGACACUUGCCUCUGAGUGCCCAUCCCGUGGCUGCUGGUGGGUGGACGGGCUGCCGGAUGCCUCUGCAGAGGGCUUUGUGAUCUUGGGCAUUUCCUGCUUCAGGGCUG
RNAcentral lists this long non-coding RNA (490 nucleotides) under Dasypus novemcinctus (nine-banded armadillo). RNAcentral describes it as "lncRNA (ENSDNOG00000052911.1)". The record is from RNAcentral. Lineage: Eukaryota; Metazoa; Chordata; Mammalia; Cingulata; Dasypodidae.